RNAcentral lists this ribosomal RNA (465 nucleotides) under uncultured bacterium. RNAcentral describes it as "partial 16S ribosomal RNA". It matches the Rfam family "Bacterial small subunit ribosomal RNA", at positions 339 to 795 of the family's 1533-position model. The record is from RNAcentral.
CUACGGGCCGCUCCAGUGGGGAAUAUUGGACAAUGGGGGAAACCCUGAUCCAGCAAUGCCGCGUGUGUGAAGAAGGCCUGCGGGUUGUAAAGCACUUUCGGUUGGGAGGACUGCUUCUAGCACUAAUAUUGUUGGAAGUUGACGUUACCUUCAGAAGAAGCACCGGCUAACUCCGUGCCAGCAGCCGCGGUAAUACGGAGGAUGCAAGCGUUAAUCGGAAUUACUGGGCGUAAAGCGCGCGUAGGCGGCUAGAUCAGUCGGGUGUGAAAGCCCCGGGCUUAACCUGGGAACUGCAUCCGAUACUGUCUAGCUUGAGUACAGGAGAGGAGAGUGGAAUUCCACAUGUAGCGGUGAAAUGCGUAGAUAUGUGGAGGAACACCAAUGGCGAAGGCAGCUCUCUGGCCUGAUACUGACGCUGAGGUGCGAAAGCGUGGGGAGCAAACAGGACUAGAUACCCUUGUAGUC